This 379-nucleotide ribosomal RNA is filed under the name uncultured bacterium. Its description in RNAcentral is "bacterial SSU rRNA". It matches the Rfam family "Bacterial small subunit ribosomal RNA", at positions 521 to 896 of the family's 1533-position model. The record is from RNAcentral.
UAAUACGGAGGGAGCGAGCGUUGUCCGGAAUUACUAGGCGUAAAGGGCUAGUAGGUGGCUAAUUAAGUUAUAUGUUAAAUCCUACGGCUUAACCGUAGUCCAGCAUAUAAUACUGGUUAGAUAGAGUACUGUAGAGGAAGGCGGAAUUCCUGGAGUAGCGGUGGAAUGCGCAGAUAUCAGGAAGAACACCAAAAGCGAAGGCAGCCUUCUGGGCAGUAACUGACGCUGAAUAGCGAAGGUGUGGGUAGCAAACAGGCUUAGAUACCCUGGUAGUCCACACAGUAAACGAUGAUCACUAGGUGUUGGUGCCGAUAAAACGGCUUCAGUACCGCAGCUAACGCAUUAAGUGAUCCGCCUGGGGAGUACGACCGCAAGGUUG